Molecule: long non-coding RNA, 206 nt
Organism: Suncus etruscus (white-toothed pygmy shrew)
Lineage: Eukaryota; Metazoa; Chordata; Mammalia; Eulipotyphla; Soricidae
Exons: 3
Source: RefSeq, a predicted model, not a curated record
GAGAGCAGCAGAUUGGAGGCCCCAGGCCGGGGUGCCAGCUCCACCCCCAGGGACGACAGAGCAGACUGCGGGGUGCGGGGGAGGCCCGCUUCUGGCUGCCCGGGGCCAGCGGGGGCCGCGAUGGCAGACAUCUUUAAGCCUCCUGUCUCCUGAAAAUUCUUCCUAUUGAAGUGGAGCCAAUUCCUGUGUUGAAACUGCAGAACAAA